AGUGAACGCUGGCGGCAGGCCUAACACAUGCAAGUCGAACGGCAGCACAGUAAGAGCUUGCUCUUACGGGUGGCGAGUGGCGGACGGGUGAGGAAUACAUCGGAAUCUACUUUUUCGUGGGGGAUAACGUAGGGAAAUUUACGCUAAUACCGCAUACGAUCUACGGGUGAAAGCAGGGGAUCUUCGGACCUUGCGCGAUUGAAUGAGCCGAUGUCGGAUUAGCUAGUUGGCGGGGUAAAGGCCCACCAAGGCGACGAUCCGUAGCUGGUCUGAGAGGAUGGUCAGCCACACUGGAACUGAGACACGGUCCCGACUCCUACGGGAGGCAGCAGUGGGGAAUAUUGGACAAUGGGCGCAAGCCUGAUCCAGCCAUACCGCGUGGGUGAAGAAGGCCUUCGGGUUGUAAAGCCCUUUUGUUGGGAAAGAAAAGCAGCAGGUUAAUACCCCGCUGUUCUGACGGUACCCAAAGAAUAAGCACCGGCUAACUUCGUG
Molecule: ribosomal RNA, 492 nt
Filed under: uncultured bacterium
Lineage: Bacteria
Description: partial 16S ribosomal RNA
Rfam family: Bacterial small subunit ribosomal RNA
Source: RNAcentral